AAAACAUUUGGACCGUCGGUCUACCGAGCAACAUCAACCGCUCGGUGGAAGAUCUUCCUUCAGUCGU
RNAcentral lists this microRNA precursor (67 nucleotides) under Bombyx mori (domestic silkworm). RNAcentral describes it as "mir-2774 microRNA precursor family". It matches the Rfam family "mir-2774 microRNA precursor family". The record is from Rfam by way of RNAcentral. Lineage: Eukaryota; Metazoa; Arthropoda; Insecta; Lepidoptera; Bombycidae.